RNAcentral lists this transfer RNA (69 nucleotides) under Polypterus palmas polli. RNAcentral describes it as "tRNA-Asp". It matches the Rfam family "tRNA". From Rfam's summary of the family: Transfer RNA (tRNA) molecules are approximately 80 nucleotides in length. Their secondary structure includes four short double-helical elements and three loops (D, anti-codon, and T loops). Further hydrogen bonds mediate the characteristic L-shaped molecular structure. tRNAs have two regions of fundamental functional importance: the anti-codon, which is responsible for specific mRNA codon recognition, and the 3' end, to which the tRNAs corresponding amino acid is attached (by aminoacyl-tRNA synthetases). tRNAs cope with the degeneracy of the genetic code in two manners: having more than one tRNA (with a specific anti-codon) for a particular amino acid; and 'wobble' base-pairing, i.e. permitting non-standard base-pairing at the 3rd anti-codon position. The record is from RNAcentral. Lineage: Eukaryota; Metazoa; Chordata; Cladistia; Polypteriformes; Polypteridae.
AAGAUAUUAGUUAAGCCAUAACACUGCCUUGUCAAGGCAAAAUCAUGGGUUAAACCCCCGUAUAUCUUA